UCAGGCUCCAGGAUGCAAGAGAUACAGGAAGCUAUGAGCAGCCGAAUAUAGUUCCUGGGAGCUCCGGGUCUCUGCAAGAGCAGUAUGUGCUCUUGACCUCUGAGCUAUCUCUCAAGACCCAGCUUCCGGCAACUUUGAGAUUGUGCCUUCCAAUCCCAAGUUUUCCUUAGGCACGAGCCUUGCCUCUACCUCUAGCCUUCCUCCAAAUCCCUUAAUGAUUUGUUUGCCGACACUCUAGAAGAAUAUUUGUGCAGCUUUACGAUGACAUCUCAAUUUCCUCACAAUGCCUUUCGAUGUCACAGAGGACCUGCCGCCUGGCAGUCUGUGUAGUACUCUUGUUUGCGAACAGAUUACGUUGUUCAGCUGUGGGAAGUGUCUGCUGAAUAACCUAGACAGCAUGGCAGUGAUGCUGUCAACCCAAUUAGCCAAGCCAGGCUCAUUCUCCUCAGAGAUAUUGGAGUUUCGUCUUUCAACUCAAAUCGGUGUGAUGCUAUGUGUUCCCCUGGAGAGCAGAAUGGGUGGAGGAGCUUUGCUUCAGAAUUGUUCCUCACAGGCAGAUGAAUGGAUGAGUAGGAAACAACAACAGCAACAAGAAAAAACCCAACAGUGGGUCCACAGAACAUCGCCUGCCCUUCUCCGGUGUGAAUAACACCGGCCUGUAGACAAAGUUCUUUGAGGAGAACCGGUAUUCAUAAACCUGAAAAAAAAACUUUAAAAAAAGAUAUUCUAAUAUUUAUUUACUUAUUUAUGUAAGUAAUGAAAAGAGGGGGGGGGAGGAAAAAACACCAAGUGUUUCACCUGGCGUGUGUUUGUGGUGACUCAUUUCGAGAAUAUUCUGAGGGGAAAACCCACCUCCCUUCUAUCUCUAGGAAAUUCCCUUUCCGUGGGAAUGCACACCCCAGAAUGCCAUGCUCACAGGUCUGGGGACCCAGGGGCUAGGGAAGUUGUGUGUCUGUCUCUCCCUAUUUUAGAAGCUACAAGCCCCAAGGCAAGCCAGAGCUCUCUCUCUCUGAUCAGGGCGUAUUUUUCAAUCAGAGCAAUUUUAUGGAGGGGGCUUAACUGACUUCCUACGUUCCUGUUGCUGCCUUAAUUUCUUUGCUUGCACAGAAACCCCUACAGGGGAGCUGUAAAGAAAACAGAAUAAAUAAAGGAGGAAGAAACUACUUCUCUUCUCUUUCCUCCCUAAAGCCCCUCGUAAACAUCCCACCCUGUGUCACACAACGUAUGGCCAGCGCUAAGCCUUGGCAGUAUUUUGACGCGAUGCACGGGCCUUUUCUCCUCUUCUGUUCCUUUGAGGUUCAUCUUGCAGCCCAGGACUCUGUUCCCCUGCCAACUUGGUGGGAGUGUUUAGUGACUGGAAGGCUGUGGCCCGCUCUCCCCACAACUUCACACUUCAUUUUUCCAUAUCCCUGGGAGCAGCAGCAAAUAUUUCACCAGCCUGGUUUGCUGGCUACUGCCAUAAAUCAGACUUAGGCCUCAAAAAAAUAUCCAGGCCUGUCAAGGCCUUAAGCUUUAUUUUCUGAUUCCAUCCAGCGGUAAGUGAGAGCUUGUAUUCUCCUUUAAAACUGUAAAGGGAUUUUUAAGGAUUG
Molecule: long non-coding RNA, 1589 nt
Filed under: Rattus norvegicus (Norway rat)
Lineage: Eukaryota; Metazoa; Chordata; Mammalia; Rodentia; Muridae
Description: long non-coding RNA NONRATT033776
Source: RNAcentral